GCAUCAGUAGUCCAGUGGAAGGACGCUCGCUUAGGGAUCGAGAGGUCCUGGGUUCGAACCCCACCAGGGGCA
Ruditapes philippinarum (Manila clam) is the source of this 72-nucleotide non-coding RNA. The record is from the annotation of a RefSeq genome assembly. NCBI's taxonomy places the organism in Eukaryota, Metazoa, Mollusca, Bivalvia, Venerida, Veneridae.